Molecule: small RNA, 126 nt
Filed under: Marmota monax (woodchuck)
Lineage: Eukaryota; Metazoa; Chordata; Mammalia; Rodentia; Sciuridae
Source: RNAcentral
GCUGGGGGCGGUGGCACAUUUCUGUAAUCCCAGAAGCUAGGGAGGCUGAGGCAGGAGGAUCGCAAGUUCAAGGCUAGACUCACCAAUUUAUCGAGGCCUUAGCAACUUAGUGAGACCCUGUCUCAA